RNAcentral lists this ribosomal RNA (245 nucleotides) under uncultured Anaerovorax sp. RNAcentral describes it as "partial 16S ribosomal RNA". It matches the Rfam family "Bacterial small subunit ribosomal RNA", at positions 524 to 769 of the family's 1533-position model. Lineage: Bacteria; Bacillati; Bacillota; Clostridia; Peptostreptococcales; Anaerovoracaceae. The record is from RNAcentral.
UACGUAGGGGGCGAGCGUUAUCCGGAAUUAUUGGGCGUAAAGAGUGCGUAGGUGGCCAUGUAAGCGCGGGGUGAAAGGCAAUAGCUUAACUAUUGUAAGCCUUGCGAACUGUGUGGCUUGAGUGCAGGAGAGGAAAGUGGAAUUCCUAGUGUAGCGGUGAAAUGCGUAGAUAUUAGGAGGAACACCAGUGGCGAAGGCGACUUUCUGGACUGUAACUGACACUGAGGCACGAAAGCGUGGGGAGC